RNAcentral lists this non-coding RNA (29 nucleotides) under Mus musculus (house mouse). Lineage: Eukaryota; Metazoa; Chordata; Mammalia; Rodentia; Muridae. The record is from RNAcentral.
UCCGUGGAUUCGAACGCUCUGUUUUCUCC